RNAcentral lists this long non-coding RNA (242 nucleotides) under Phaseolus vulgaris (common bean). RNAcentral describes it as "long non-coding RNA (PVUL_LNC000228)". The record is from RNAcentral. Lineage: Eukaryota; Viridiplantae; Streptophyta; Magnoliopsida; Fabales; Fabaceae.
AGAUUUCUUGCUCCCAUUUCUCUUGCUAACAACAUUCCUGCGAUCAGGGCCUCAUACUCCGCCUGAUUGUUGCUAGCUUUGAAGGCAAAGCGGAGGGACUGCUCGAUCAGUACCCCAUUUGGUCCUUCCAGGAUGACUCCCGCGCCGCUUCCCUGCUGAUUAGAGGAGCCAUCCACCGAUAACACCCAUCGGAAAUUUAGCCCUUCUGUAGGUGUCGCGAUUGAUGAUAGCUCGACUACGAA